ACAAAAAUAUUUUUACUCAAAAUCAUUAUUUACCAUAACUACCUCUAUUUAUUUUCACCUAACCCUCCCAUUAUUUACCAUAAAUAUAUGUCAGUUUUUAUAAUUUAAUAGUCAAAAAUACUUUUUUUGAAAGAUUUGUCAAACACAAACUACUUCUUAAAUACUGAUAAAAGUGCUUAUCAAAUGAUUUUGUCAAACACAAACUGCUUUUCUCUCGCAGCACUUCUUUUAAAACCCCAUGUGAAAAGAAGUAACUUCAAAAUAAAUUGAUUUUUACAGCUUGGCCAAACAGGCCCUAAGUC
Molecule: long non-coding RNA, 302 nt
Filed under: Elaeis guineensis (African oil palm)
Lineage: Eukaryota; Viridiplantae; Streptophyta; Magnoliopsida; Arecales; Arecaceae
Description: long non-coding RNA (EGUI_LNC072510)
Source: RNAcentral